GACGUAGGGUGCAAGCGUUGUCCGGAUUUACUGGGCGUAAAGAGCGCGUAGGCGGCUUGUUAAGUGUAGAGUGAAAUCUCCAGGGCUCAACCCGGAAACUGCUCUGCAUACUGGCAAGCUUGAGGGUCACAGAGGCAACUGGAAUUCCUGGUGAAGCGGUGAAAUGCGUAGAUAUCAGGAGGAACUACCAUGGCGAAGGCAGGUUGCUGGGUGACAUCUGACGCUGAGGCGCGAAAGCGUGGGUAGCAAACAGG
RNAcentral lists this ribosomal RNA (254 nucleotides) under uncultured bacterium. Its description in RNAcentral is "partial 16S ribosomal RNA". It matches the Rfam family "Bacterial small subunit ribosomal RNA", at positions 524 to 776 of the family's 1533-position model. The record is from RNAcentral.